This is a regulatory RNA element of 102 nucleotides. It matches the Rfam family "TPP riboswitch aptamer (THI element)". From Rfam's summary of the family: Vitamin B(1) in its active form thiamin pyrophosphate (TPP) is an essential coenzyme that is synthesised by coupling of pyrimidine and thiazole moieties in bacteria. The previously detected thiamin-regulatory element, thi box was extended, resulting in a new, highly conserved RNA secondary structure, the THI element, which is widely distributed in eubacteria and also occurs in some archaea. The record is from Rfam.
CGCCAACCGUUGGGGUGCCUGCAUUGGCUGAGAGGUGUCUACCACCAACCCAUCGAACCUGAUCCGGGCAAUUCCGGCGUAGGAAACGGUCUUAGUCACAGG